This 256-nucleotide ribosomal RNA is filed under the name uncultured bacterium. Its description in RNAcentral is "partial 16S ribosomal RNA". It matches the Rfam family "Bacterial small subunit ribosomal RNA", at positions 96 to 353 of the family's 1533-position model. The record is from RNAcentral.
UGGCGGACGGGUGAGUAAUGUCUGGGAAACUGCCUGAUGGAGGGGGAUAACUACUGGAAACGGUAGCUAAUACCGUAUAACGUCGCAAGACCAAAGAGGGGGACCUUCGGGCCUCUUGCCAUCGGAUGUGCCCAGAUGGGAUUAGCUAGUAGGUGGGGUAACGGCUCACCUAGGCGACGAUCCCUAGCUGGUCUGAGAGGAUGACCAGCCACACUGGAACUGAGACACGGUCCAGACUCCUACGGGAGGCAGCAUG